UUAAUGAAUUCUAGAGUUAUCAAUUCAAUAGGUCGGAUGAUUGAAUUAGUUGUGAAAAAUAGUUAAAUAGGAAAUAACGGUUAGAAUCUAGAAUUUCAGAAGUAAUACAUAAAUAAGUUGAAGAAGAAAAGGGAGGGACUAAACUGUGAUAGUCAUGAGCUAGGGUAAGCUUGGUGCUAUCUCUUUUUUUAAUUUGUUUUUUUGUACUUGAAGAGUAAUGGAUAGUUUGUGAAUAUUGUGAAGUGAAUCGAUGGAAUAAAUUAGAGAUUGAUUUAUGAGAUAUUAAAUAUGUAAUUGCAGUACUAUGUGAUUGAAUUAUUAUGAAAAGAUAUUGAAAGUUUGUUAUUAGAUUUUGUAGAAGAUUGAUUCUUGAUAGAAGAUUAUGAUUAUUGUUAAUUGAGAGUUGUGUAUGUUUUGACAAAAAAAGUCUAUGAUUUUAAAAAUUGUAUGAAGCCAGAUUGGUUGGAGUGGAAAACUAUUAUUUUUGAUAUUGGAUGGAAUUUGUGUAUUUUAAGCAGUCUUUUGAGAGUGUAGGAUUGUACAUUGUUGUUAUCAGUUUAUGAAGGAGUAUUGUUAGUAGAAGAAAACAUUGUAGUGUUCUUUGGUGUUUUAGUAGUUUGAAAUGUGGUUAAUUGUGUGAUCCUAACAUAUAAGCUCAUGCGGUUAGUCUUUUCCUAUGUUCAAAUCUCUCUCUACAAGUUUAUUAUGAAAAAAAUUUGUAGAAUAAGUAAAAUGACAACCACAUAUAGCUAUCUAAGAUUUAAAUUAAAUUACAUAUAAAGUUAUAAUGAAAGAUAGAUCUCUAAAAUUGAAAUUUUGAAUUUUCUUUUAAAUACCAUCUUUUAAUUAAUAAUUUUUAAAAUAAUAUAAGUAAUCUAUUAAUUAAUAUAAUUUUAUCAAAUAAAUCUUAAUAUAGCAUAUUUUUAUUAAAAUUAAAAAUU
This 941-nucleotide long non-coding RNA is filed under the name Physcomitrium patens. RNAcentral describes it as "long non-coding RNA (PPAT_LNC014408)". Lineage: Eukaryota; Viridiplantae; Streptophyta; Bryopsida; Funariales; Funariaceae. The record is from RNAcentral.